CAAGGGAUAUUGCGCAAUGGGCGAAAGCCUGACGCAGCGACGCCGCGUGAGGGAUGAAGGCCUUCGGGUCGUAAACCUCUUUUAUUGGUGAAGAGUAAGGACGGUAACCAAUGAAUAAGCCUCGGCUAACUACGUGCCAGCAGCCGCGGUAAUACGUAGGAGGCGAGCGUUAUCCGGAUUUACUGGGCGUAAAGCGCGUGUAGGCGGCUUUUUAAGUUGGCAGUGAAAGGUCCCGGCUCAACUGGGAUUCGCCUGUCAAUACUGGAGAGCUUGAGGGCACCAGAGGAAAGUGGAACUCGCGGUGUAGCGGUGAAAUGUGUAGAUAUCGCGAGGAACACCAGUGGCGAAGGCGGCUUUCUGGGGUGUUCCUGACGCUGAGGCGCGAAAGCGUGGGGAGCGAAGCGG
RNAcentral lists this ribosomal RNA (405 nucleotides) under uncultured Dehalococcoidia bacterium. RNAcentral describes it as "bacterial SSU rRNA". It matches the Rfam family "Bacterial small subunit ribosomal RNA", at positions 355 to 776 of the family's 1533-position model. Lineage: Bacteria; Bacillati; Chloroflexota; Dehalococcoidia. The record is from RNAcentral.